Molecule: long non-coding RNA, 1471 nt
Filed under: Lotus japonicus
Lineage: Eukaryota; Viridiplantae; Streptophyta; Magnoliopsida; Fabales; Fabaceae
Description: long non-coding RNA (LJAP_LNC001758)
Source: RNAcentral
AAGGGUGGAGGAUCUGUGGGAAGUGAGGAACCCUAAUUUGUUGGAGAGAGCGAUCCCCGAUCUAACUCGGUUGCACAAUGCUGCCAUUUCUGCGAUGCGAAUUGCGAAACCCUAAUUUUCAGAAGAUUCAAGUCACAGACACAGUGGCGUGAAAUGAAACCGAUGCUUUGCUUCUCAAUAGUGAGAGAGAGCUAGUGCUGUAGCUUCCAACACGUUCUUUUUUUUUAUGCAAGCGAAUUACACGUUCUCUUUUUUUUUUCUGGCAAUGCAGGCUUUUUUUUAACAAAAGAGUGUUAAAUUGAAUAUGCUAGUAUUCAUAUACUACUUCGGCCCCGUUUGGAAGAGCUUAUUUAAGCUUAUCUGAUAUCAUAAGUAUUUAUACAAGUGUUUCAGAGAGCUUAUGCAAACAACUUAUGACAUUGUUUGGAAAAACAACUUAAUUAAGCGCUUAUGUUGGCCUAUGACAUAAGUGUUUAUUCAUAAGCUAUUUUAAAAAGAUUUUUGAAAUAAAUUGAAAAAAAACUAUAUAUAAGCAUAAGCUAUUUUUCAUAAGUCAUCCUAAAUAGCUUAUGAAAAUAAGUAAGUUGUUUUCAUAAGUUCUCUCAAACACUGACAUAAGCGCUUAUGCUAUCAGAUAAGCUCUUUCAAACGGGGCCUAUGGGCUAUGGCCUCUCAUAAGUUGUUUUGAGUUUAUUUCCCUAAGUUACUCAGGAUAGCUUAUGAAAAAAAAGUUUAUGCUUAUAUAUAGCUUAUUUUUAAUUAUUUUAGUAGUUUUUUUUUAAAUAACUUAUGAACAAGCGUUUAUGACCAUAAGCGUUAAGGUGUUUUAAAAAUGUCUUAUCGAAUGGGAUCUUCCGUGUGAUGACAGCCAAUUGUUACUAGGAAAAAUAUUAAUUUGAAGUUUUAAUUAGUUGGAUGAAAGAAUAUGAUUUACUAGACUGAGUGACUAUCACAUCACAUGCUAGAUUUUUUUAUAAAAAUAAAAAAUAGUGACAAUUUCGUUACAAAAGGGAAAUACACAUAUUUACUAUUCCAAGUUUUUGUAUUUCACGAGAUUCACAAAUAAAUAUACACUACAUUAGAAAAUUACUCAAUCUUCACAAUCAUUCAGGGUAUUGUGCACUCUUGUUCUCCAUCAGGAGAAAAAAAAAUCCCCGAAAUGUAAUUUUGAUCAAAAUUCAACUCAACUUAGGACUUUGCAAAAUACUACUACAUCCUAAAAAAGGAAAAAAAAAUGCACAUAAAAAAUACUUUGUUUUAUCACAACUAGAUAAAACCUCUCCAAGGUAGUUUUUUUUUUAACAAUGUAAAAAGUGUUAUCGAUCAAUCAAUAGAACGAAAAUGAUAGAGGAAAAUAGAGUGAUGAACGCGAUGUUUUACCAGAGGGGCAACAAGGGUGGUGGAUCUGUGGGAAGUCAGGAACCCUAAUUUGUUGGAGAGAGAUCCCCGAUCUAACUCGGUUACACAAUGC